This 909-nucleotide ribosomal RNA is filed under the name Fusarium solani. Its description in RNAcentral is "partial large subunit ribosomal RNA". It matches the Rfam family "Eukaryotic large subunit ribosomal RNA", at positions 1 to 938 of the family's 3401-position model. The record is from RNAcentral. Lineage: Eukaryota; Fungi; Ascomycota; Sordariomycetes; Hypocreales; Nectriaceae.
GUUGACCUCGAAUCAGGUAGGAAUACCCGCUGAACUUAAGCAUAUCAAUAAGCGGAGGAAAAGAAACCAACAGGGAUUGCCCCAGUAACGGCGAGUGAAGCGGCAACAGCUCAAAUUUGAAAUCUGGCUCUCGGGCCCGAGUUGUAAUUUGUAGAGGAUGCUUUUGGUGAGGUGCCUUCCGAGUUCCCUGGAACGGGACGCCAUAGAGGGUGAGAGCCCCGUCUGGUUGGACACCGAUCCUCUGUAAAGCUCCUUCGACGAGUCGAGUAGUUUGGGAAUGCUGCUCUAAAUGGGAGGUAUAUGUCUUCUAAAGCUAAAUACCGGCCAGAGACCGAUAGCGCACAAGUAGAGUGAUCGAAAGAUGAAAAGAACUUUGAAAAGAGAGUUAAACAGUACGUGAAAUUGUUGAAAGGGAAGCGCUUGUGACCAGACUUGGGCUUGGUUGAUCAUCCGGGGUUCUCCCCGGUGCACUCUUCCGGCUCAGGCCAGCAUCAGUUCGCCCUGGGGGAUAAAGGCUUCGGGAAUGUGGCUCUCUCCGGGGAGUGUUAUAGCCCGCUGCGUAAUACCCUGUGGCGGACUGAGGUUCGCGCAUUCGCAAGGAUGCUGGCGUAAUGGUCAUCAGUGACCCGUCUUGAAACACGGACCAAGGAGUCGUCUUCGUAUGCGAGUGUUCGGGUGUCAAACCCCUACGCGAAAUGAAAGUGAACGCAGGUGAGAGCUUCGGCGCAUCAUCGACCGAUCCUGAUGUUAUCGGAUGGAUUUGAGUAAGAGCAUACGGGGCCGGACCCGAAAGAAGGUGAACUAUGCCUGUGUAGGGUGAAGCCAGAGGAAACUCUGGUGGAGGCUCGCAGCGGUUCUGACGUGCAAAUCGAUCGUCAAACAUGGGCAUGGGGGCGAAAGACUAAUCGA